AGGACGAACGCUGGCGGCGUGCUUAACACAUGCAAGUCGAACGGUGAAGCCCUUUGGGGUGGAUCAGUGGCGAACGGGUGAGUAACACGUGAGCAAUCUGCCCUUGACUCUGGGAUAACUUCGGGAAACCGGAGCUAAUACCGGAUAUGACACGCGGACGCAUGUUCUGUGUGUGGAAAGAUUUAUCGGUUGAGGAUGAGCUCGCGGCCUAUCAGCUUGUUGGUGGGUAAUGGCUCACCAAGGCGACGACGGGUA
Molecule: ribosomal RNA, 255 nt
Filed under: uncultured bacterium
Lineage: Bacteria
Description: partial small subunit ribosomal RNA
Rfam family: Bacterial small subunit ribosomal RNA
Source: RNAcentral